AGAAGCUGACGAGAGUAGGGGAAGCAGUUCUGACCAUACCAAACGUUCAGAAAACCGUUCAAAAUGCACGGCUCCUCUGUUGAGUCCUGAAUCCAGCUAUUUUUGCAUUGUCAAAUCCUACUCAGAAUGCUGAAUGCACCCCUGAAGCAGCAUUCUCCAUUGUGGGUGACACUGUCGUAUUUGCAAGUGGAAAUCCAUUCAAAGAUGUGGAUUUGGGAAAUGGUCGAAUUGGCCACAGCAAUCAGGGAAACAUGUACCUCUUUCCAGGGUUAGUGUUAAUUUAUGUGUUUAUAUUCUGAAGGUCAGCCUUCCUGGGGAUGAACCGACUAUCUAUCUGAUCAUGCACGAUUGGGCUAGAAAAGAGGGAAAAGUUCUUUAGUUGUGAGAGCUGAGGAAACAGUGACCUCUGCAUCCAACAUUCGAUCUUCACUGCGGAUUUGAUAUUUUGAUAAUAGGGCAAAGGGGAUGAAUUAUUGCUUUGAUAAUAGGGCAUAAAUUUGCACCAACAUCAAUUUGAUAUUCUGUUCGGAGAUAGAUCUCUUUGCGAUCGUAAAAAAAUAAUCAUGAGUUACCCUCUCUCUCACUUUCUCCUUCUCCUUCUUGAAUCUAGGUUGUUGUCUAUCUUUCUCCUGUUCAAAGAAGGAUUUGAAUUUUUUACAAUUUGAGAUUUUAUUUGCUAUUUUUUUUUGUCACAUCGAUUUCUCACCCCAAUCUCUCUCUCUCUCUCUCUCUCUCUCUCUCUCUCUUGCAUUGGAGUGAAUUUGUUAAACUCUAAUUUCUGUUGCUCAUUUUUUUCCCUACAGAUAAUUUAGUACACAGAUUGCCAGUCUCAGAGUCUUACAACAGCAUUCAACACUCCCAUCACUAGCGCUCCUCUCUUGCAUCCCUCUUCAUGUUUGAUCAUUAAGGGUUGUUCUCCCACAAUCUUCUCCCUUCUUUUAUCUCUAUCAGUCCUUCUUCAUCUCUCUCUCUCUCCUUGAUCCAACUAUUUCUCUCACACGAGAACUCUUCAUACCUAUUUUUUGUAGGUAACGUAAAAAGGAGUUGAGGCAUGAAGGCUCAAGAACAUAUCCUGUUUAGGUCAUUGAACAAAGAGAAAACCCUCUGUGAUAAGGAGUAGCUCCAUAUCCCAAUCAUGUGAUGUUUCAAAGUUACGUUUUAUAACAUUGAUGCUCAAUACAAUGAUUUUUUUUUUCUCGUUCUUUUUCUCAUGUGAAGUUGUAGCCGAAAAUUGGUUUUAUUACAGAAAGAUUAAAAAAUACUAUGGGUAAGAUUUGUACCUUCCACCUUA
This is a long non-coding RNA of Macadamia integrifolia, 1291 nucleotides long. RefSeq lists it as uncharacterized. NCBI's taxonomy places the organism in Eukaryota, Viridiplantae, Streptophyta, Magnoliopsida, Proteales, Proteaceae. The record is from RefSeq and is a predicted model, not a curated record. The transcript is spliced from 5 exons.